AACGAACGCUGGCGGCAUGCCUAACACAUGCAAGUCGAACGAGACCUUCGGGUCUAGUGGCGCACGGGUGCGUAACGCGUGGGAACCUGCCCUUAGGUUCGGAAUAACUCACCGAAAGGGGUGCUAAUACCGGAUAAUGUCUUCGGACCAAAGAUUUAUCGCCUUUGGAUGGGCCCGCGUUGGAUUAGCUAGUUGGUGGGGUAAAAGCCUACCAAGGCGACGAUCCAUAGCUGGUCUGAGAGGAUGAUCAGCCACACUGGGACUGAGACACGGCCCAGACUCGUACGGGAGGCAGCAGUAGGGAAUAUUGGACAAUGGGCGAAAGCCUGAUACAGCAAUGCCGCGUGAGUGAUGAAGGCCUUAGGGUUGUAAAGCUCUUUUACCCGAGAUGAUAAUGACAGUACCGGGAGAAUAAGCUCCGGCUAACUCCGUG
This 433-nucleotide ribosomal RNA is filed under the name uncultured bacterium. Its description in RNAcentral is "partial 16S ribosomal RNA". It matches the Rfam family "Bacterial small subunit ribosomal RNA", at positions 29 to 507 of the family's 1533-position model. The record is from RNAcentral.